RNAcentral lists this ribosomal RNA (444 nucleotides) under uncultured bacterium. Its description in RNAcentral is "bacterial SSU rRNA". It matches the Rfam family "Bacterial small subunit ribosomal RNA", at positions 355 to 796 of the family's 1533-position model. The record is from RNAcentral.
UAAGGAAUAUUGGUCAAUGGACGCAAGUCUGAACCAGCCAUGCCGCGUGGAGGAUGAAGGUCCUCUGGAUUGUAAACUUCUUUUAUCUGGGACGAAAAAGGGCUUUUCUAAGCCAACUGACGGUACCAGAUGAAUAAGCACCGGCUAACUCCGUGCCAGCAGCCGCGGUAAUACGGAGGGUGCAAGCGUUAUCCGGAUUCACUGGGUUUAAAGGGUGCGUAGGCGGGUAAUUAAGUCAGUGGUGAAAUACCUGAGCUUAACUUGGGAACUGCCAUUGAUACUAUUUAUCUUGAAUGUUGUGGAGGUCAGCGGAAUAUGUCAUGUAGCGGUGAAAUGCUUAGAUAUGACAUAGAACACCUAUUGCGAAGGCAGCUGGCUACGCAAAUAUUGACGCUGAGGCACGAAAGCGUGGGGAUCAAACAGGAUUAGAUACCCCGGUAGUCC